This 20-nucleotide non-coding RNA is filed under the name Arabidopsis thaliana (thale cress). Lineage: Eukaryota; Viridiplantae; Streptophyta; Magnoliopsida; Brassicales; Brassicaceae. The record is from RNAcentral.
UAGGGUUUAGGGUUUAGAGU